This 497-nucleotide ribosomal RNA is filed under the name uncultured bacterium. Its description in RNAcentral is "partial 16S ribosomal RNA". It matches the Rfam family "Bacterial small subunit ribosomal RNA", at positions 28 to 507 of the family's 1533-position model. The record is from RNAcentral.
GAUGAACGCUGGCGGCGUGCCUAAUACAUGCAAGUCGAGCGAACAGACGAGGAGCUUGCUCCUCUCACGAUAGCGGCGGACGGGUGAGUAACACGUGGAUAACGUACCUAUAAGACUGGGAUAACUUCGGGAAACCGGAUCUAAUACCGGAUAACAUGCUGCACCGCGGGGGGCAACAGUGAAAGACGGUUUUGCUGUCACUUAUAGAUGCAUCUGCGCCGGAUUAGCUAGUUGGUAAGGUAACGGCUUACGAAGGCAACGAUGCGUAGCCGACCUGAGAGGGUGAUCGGCCACACUGGAGCUGGGACACGGUCCAGACUCCUACGGGAGGCAGCAGUAGGGAAUCUUCCGCAAUGGGCGAAAGCCUGACGGAACAACGCCGCGUGAGUGAAGAAGGUCUUCGGAUCGUAAAACUCUGUUACUAGGGAAGAACAAAUGUGGAAGGAACUAUGCACGGCUUGACGGUACCUAAUCAGAAAGCCACGGCUAACUACGUG